This 1551-nucleotide long non-coding RNA is filed under the name Rattus norvegicus (Norway rat). RNAcentral's name for it is "long non-coding RNA NONRATT029041". Lineage: Eukaryota; Metazoa; Chordata; Mammalia; Rodentia; Muridae. The record is from RNAcentral.
ACCCUCCCGGAAGUCAGCAGACGCUGCGUGGCACUGUCAGUGGGCAGCCUCAACAACCCCCACCACAGCAACCGUCUCCUCAGCCUCAGCAGCAGGUCCAGGCAUCACAGCCUCAGAUGACAGGGCCACUGGUCACUCAGUCUGUCCAGGGCCUGCAGCCAUCUUCCCAGUCUGUGCAAUAUCCAGCGGUCUCUUUCCCUCCCCAGCAUCUCCUGCCUGUGUCGCCAACGCAGCACUUCCCCCUGAGAGAAGAGAUGGCUGCGCAGUUCAGUCAGCUGAGCAUGAGCAGGCAGUCCUCGGGAGACACUCCUGAACCUCCCUCUGGUCCAGUCUACCCAGCCUCCCUCAUGCAAGCAGCUCAGCCACCAAGCUACGUCAUCACUUCUGCAGGCCAGCAGCUCUCCACAGGGGGUUUCUCGGACUCUGGCCCGCCCAUCUCCCAGCAGGUCCUGCAGGCCCCGCCCUCUCCCCAGGGAUUUGUACAGCAGCCUCCACCUGCGCAGAUGUCCGUAUAUUACUACCCAUCUGGUCAGUACCCUACCUCAACCACACAGCAGUACCGACCCCUGGCCUCAGUCCAGUACAGCGCUCAGAGGAGUCAGCAAAUACCACAGACCGCGCAGCAAGCAGGUUACCAGCCAGUCUUGUCUGGUCAACAGAGCUUUCAAGGCCUGAUGGGAGUACAGCAGUCAGCUCACAGCCAGGGGGUGAUGAGCAGUCAGCAAGGAGCCCCGGUGCAUGGUGUGAUGGUCUCCUACCCAACCAUGUCUUCUUAUCAGGUGCCAAUGACCCAAGGUUCUCAAGCAGUGCCCCAGCAGACAUACCAACCGCCAAUCAUGCUGCCCAGUCAGACAGGCCAAGGGUCACUCCCAGCCACCGGAAUGCCUGUGUACUGUAACAUCACACCGCCAAGCCCUCAGAACAACCUAAGGUUGAUGGGUCCACACUGCCCCUCCAGCACGGUUCCUGUCAUGUCUGCUAGCUGCAGAACAAACUGUGGGAGCAUGAACAACGCUGGCUGGCCGGUCAAGUUCUGAGAGUGCUCGGGCUGCCCGCGGUACACUUCAUCAUAUGUUAACUCAUGGCCUUCAAAGGAAGAGGAGACUUCGACAGCUGGCUGAGGACUUCCAUAUACAUUGCUGCUGGUAUUCUGUACAAACUAAUCAAAGACUAAUACAUUAGCUGGUUAAUGGUGCAUAUUUCUGUCAUGUCUGCUAGGUAUGCCUUUCUAGCUUAGCUAGGGACAUGAAUUCAUCAAGGUAAGAUUUUCUCCUACCAUGAAUACCACUGUGUAGAUUACAAUAUCCCUGAUUCGGAUUAGUUUUGUACUUUGUGUUCAGUUUGUGAUGCUAAAAGUAUUUAAAUAUAUAUAUAUAUAAACUAAAUCACACGGUACCAAAGCUGUAACGGAACAAAAGGAAAGAGUUGAGGAAUGGAAGGAAUAAUUUAUAUACACUAUAGAGUUUUCUUUUUUAAAUGGAUAUAUAUGGUAUUGUAGUGUUUAACGCAAAUAAAAGCUUAUUUGACCUUACGGAGGAAGGUCAUGUUUUU